UAGAUAGAAAUAUAUAGAUAUAAAUAAGUUACUGCACAAUAGUUGAACAUAGGGAUUUGCAUAUAAUGAGAGGGUGUUAAAAUGUCACAGGACAUAAACAUGUCAAAUAAUAUAGAAUAUACAGUGCGGCAGAAUUUAAACAUACUGAGUAAUAUAUGAAUAGACACAUACUGAGGUAUAGAGAGAAUGUAAACUAUAAAAAUGCUGGAUUGGAUUUUUGCGAUCCUUCAGUUUGUUUGUUUGUGUGUGUCUGUGUUCGCAAGCCAGCGGGCAUUUAGCUCCCAUAUGAUGCUGGGGUAGAAGCUUUUCUUAAGUGAUGGAUCUGAAUCAUUUGCCAGAGGGCAGCAGUUUAAAUAAGUGUUCAAGCUAAUGGUUUGGUUUUGAUGCUUUUACAUUGACAUAACAUAAUUUAUUUGUAUUGAAUUAAUAAGAUUGUGAUUUUUGCUUGUAAAAUUGCUAAAACAGAAGCACUGUGAAAGUGUCUGAACUACAUUACCCAUCAGCCCUCUGCAUGUCUCCAUGUCACAUGUUUCACUAAUCAGUUUGAUCUGCACCACUAAUUAAGCUCUACUUUCUUUAUACCUCUUUCUCCUGCUACUGAUGAUGUCGCAUUUUGUUUGUUGUCUUGCCUUCUAUUGACUUGCUCAUAGUUUGUAUAUUCUGCUAUUUUAGAUUUUGGUUAUUUUUACACUGUGCACAAUAAAAGUUUGCACUCACAUCUGAUGCAUCUUAGAACCUGUGACAGUACAUAUAAAUUGGUAAGAUGGAGAACUCACACCCUGUUAGGUCCAUACAACUUAAUAAUACAAUUUAUGUGAAACACAUUACACUGUCCUGAAAGAGCUUACAUGAUAGUGGUAUAUGUGUGUGUGUGUGUGUGUGUGUGUGUGUGGAUAGUAGGGAGUAGUGAAGGGCACUGUGAUAGGGUCCACCCCACAUGAUACCGAUGCCAAAAACAGCCGUUGUAUGUGUCAUCUGUCUCUCACACACACACACACACACACACACACACACACACACUGUAGCCGUGGUCAGUAGUGACACACAGUCUGUGUGCCAAAUGUGAGUUAUUAUCUAAUCUGAAGCUUUGCCCAGGGUUACAUUUGUCAAUCUGCUCCAGACAAUCCUGAGAGACCAUGGCUUUCUGGGGAGGUUUACAAAAAAAGAGAAAGAAAAGAAAAAGAAAAACAGAUUAUGACAAAAAAGUCUUCCUCCAAAACAGCCACAGGCCACCAGGUACAUGUCCUCAGCUGUCUGGUUGGAGCACAUCACAGAAAUGAUUAAGGGAUUUCUAAGUGUGUGUUUAACAAGAGCAAAGGGAGCCAAAUGCAGCGUCUGGAGCCUUGAUUCAAGCCUUUACCUCUCCUGUGUGGAAGCCAGGGCCCCUAACCCCGGAGUGUAUCUGUGAUUAUCCACAGCCGAGUGCUCGAGCAGUCGAUAAAGCCUUGGAUAAAUAGAUGAGCCCAAGCCCGUGAUGCUUCUGACCUCAAACAUGCAGCAAUUCAACAAAAAGGAGUUUGUUUCUAGACGGGAGCGCUGGACAUGGCCGAUGGGACGCGGCAGAUCAAAAUUUGCCCAUGGAAGUGUGAAUGUGUGUCGAUGUGCAUGAGAUUGAGGGUGCAAGAGAUAAAGACAAAAAAUGUGUGUGUGUGUGUGUGUGUGUGUGUAAGAAACUUGGGGGCAUAUUGAUGAUUGCCAAAGGGUUUGAGAAAGUCAGAAUUUAUAGUAUGUCUAGAGAGAUCUUGCCGUGUUAAGAGCAUGUGGUUUUCAUGCUGACAUGCAGUAACUCAGAACUAUUAUAGAGCAGUAUCCUUGUAUACAUUAUUACUAUGAUUAUUAUGAUUAUUAUUAUUAGUAGUAGUAGUAGUAGUAGUAGAAGUAGUAGCAGCAGCAGUAUUGGCUUUAAUUGUAUUUAAUAAUAUACAUGUUAUCUGAACUAUUUAAACUUAUUAACUAUUUAGCUUAUUAAUCAACUUAAGUACUUUAUUAGUAAUUAAGAGAGAUUCAAAUGAAUCAUGACAAUCUGCUGCCUUAAAAAGCUGGGGUUAAAAAAAAACAGAUUGGAGAUUUAUUGUUUUUAUUUAAAAAAAAAUAUUAUUAUAUUAGAAAGACUGCCUUUGUAUUUCUGAAAGUAAACAAUUAACUUGUUUGAUUAAUGACAAAAAGUAAAUUUGUUGAUGCGAUGUCCUUAAGUCACAUGAUAGAAUUUUUUUUUUUACUGUAAAUAUCUUUUCAUUCAUCGAAGUUUGCCAUUAUAUAUGCCAUAGUACAGUCCAUGAUGAAGUAAAGAAUUCUGGUAUUUGUUAGCAUUUGGGAUGAUGAUGAUGAUGAUGAUGAGUUGAAUGAUCUCACUGUGAUGACUUUAGCAUUAGAAGAAUUAUGCACCUGCUGUAAACGACUUGAAUGCAGUGGAAUUGUUCGGAAGUCAUGUAUAAAUGUUGGAGAGAAUUUUCCUACCUUGUGGAUGUGAUGUAGAUGGUAGAUCUCUGUUUGCAGACAUUACUUACAGUAUUUUUUAAAACUGAAGCUGUUUUCAAGAAUGACUCUUGUUCCUGAUGUACUUUUUGCCCUUUGAUGGCCGCAAGGCAAAAUAGGUCGUUUGUGCUUUGUUUCCAAUAAUAAGCACCCCCGUCUUAUCUUUGUUUAGCUGCAAAAAAAAAGUUAAUAAGCUUAGUAUUUUAGGCAGCAUCACAAAUUAUUGGGCUGCCGGGCGAAAGAUUGCACAAAUACCACUUAAAAAAUGCAAGGCACAAAAUACACAUACAUCAAAGCCAUUUUAAUACAUAUCUUGCAAUUAUUAUAUGUUCUCAAGAGUUUCUUAUCUCUGUGAUUAAGUUUAAAAAGUUGGAUUUCAGUAUAGCUUGUUUUAUAGUAAUAAUUUUUUCCCUAAUAAGAGACCUGUCCCAAGUAAGGCUGCAUGUACUGGGUAGAAAUAAUAAUUAACUGCCAAUUAAGCACCACUGCCCCUGAGUAAACUAAAAAAGGUCACUUUUGUCACGAUGUGUGGAAGGGAGAACACUUUCUUUUUUUUGCUCUUAUUUUUGCAUUUGUUUGGUCGUAGUAAUUAACAUUCAGUUGAAGUGAAAUAUCAUUUUCAACUCCUUUUUUCAAGCACGAGACCAAACCAAACCCAGCAAGGGCACACCAUAUCCUGUCAGAACGGUAAUUGCUGUGUUUUCUACGUCGAUUUCUAACUGGACAGCAUGUCCGGAUUCUCAAAAGGAAUCUAGAUUAAACACAUUAGUCAGAAUGGGCUCGAAACACAUGAACACAUGCUCACACCCCGGCCAAGUAGAAUGCAUUUGUGACAUAAUGAUGUGUGACAGCGUGUGUGAUGUUUUCUCUUCCUCUCAUUAGCAUGCACUCGAAGCAGCCAGACAUUACCUGUUGAUGGCAGGGCAGAGGCGCAUGCUGAUGGACAGAUUGAUGGGCUAGCUGAUGAAUUCCUGGCAGGUGCUUUGUCAGAGGAGAAGCAAUUUAAACCUCUGGGGGAGAGGAGCCAUUUGGAGUUCACACCAGCGCUCUAAUGUGGAAAACAGUCAAAUCUCAGCUCUCCCACUCAUAAUUAAACCAGCGCACCGCUGCCGAGCUUAACGAGGGCUGGAAUGGGAACAUGUGUCAGCCACUGAGAGUCUUCUUACCCAUCGCCACGCAUCAGCCUGGCUCUGAUAUAGAAAAAUGUCCACCUGGGGGUCAAUCUCCCUUUCACACGCAAUGACUGAUAGAUCCAAUACCCUUGGAAUCAGAUAAAACUUUGACGAAUGGCUCAGCAGCAUGCUGUUGGGAAUCACUUCGCCCUGCGUCCGUGUCGGCCUGUCCCUCUCCCAUCAUGGCACCCACUGGCUUUGAUCAAUGGUUCCCAGCACCAUGGCGUAGCGGGCCGCACGGCGUCACGAUUAAAAGAGCUGGAGGAUAUUGCUUUCUCACCAUUCGCUCUCAGGGAGAGAGAAAACUUCAUAAAACUAGGGUGACAGCGCUUUCUCCUCUCGGCCCUCACACUCUCCCCUGUCUGCUGGCUGAUCCGGAUUGAUCUGAGAGCUUUGGCUGAUUGGAGAACAGAGCAUCAUGGAUGAGAAUGAGAAACAUGAAUUCCUUACAACGCCUCGUCUGCCGUAGAUGUGUUUUUGAGAGAGGACACUCUGCUGUCAGUCAGUCCCAGUGCUCAGAAACUAAAGGUGUCUUCUGCUGUUCUAUGUAUAUCAAUAAUAUAACAACUGUCGCACAUAAGACACAUUUUCAGCAGCUGCUGUUAAAAAAAAAAAAAGCCUUAAAAAAGCUGUAACAACAAAGGUCCACAAUGAAGAACUGCUUGACAGCAAAGAAAACAGCUUUUUAUUUUAUUUAUUUUUUUAAUCCCCUGAAACCCCACAGUAGUGCCAAAUCUUAGUCCACUACCACAAACUGGUUUAAUAAAAAAACAAUUGUUUUUUUUUUUUUGUAUAUUUCUGUGAAUAGAUUUUUACUUUACUUUAUUUUAUUUUAUUUUUUUAUAUACAUAUA
This is a long non-coding RNA of Hemibagrus wyckioides, 4500 nucleotides long. RefSeq lists it as uncharacterized. The record is from RefSeq and is a predicted model, not a curated record. NCBI's taxonomy places the organism in Eukaryota, Metazoa, Chordata, Actinopteri, Siluriformes, Bagridae. The transcript is spliced from 3 exons.